This 211-nucleotide long non-coding RNA is filed under the name Solanum pimpinellifolium. RNAcentral describes it as "long non-coding RNA (SPIM_LNC000125)". Lineage: Eukaryota; Viridiplantae; Streptophyta; Magnoliopsida; Solanales; Solanaceae. The record is from RNAcentral.
AAAAGAAUCAGAAAUGACUUCAAUAUUUCAUCAAAGCAGAUGACCAUUUAGCAAUGAUAAUAGCACUCGUAACCAUCUAUAUUAGGUUCUACAACAGCAACUAUGUAGGAGACAGAAGGUAAAAGCCUAAACUGAGAUCAACACAAUUAUAUGUCUGAAGGCUCAUGGUUCAACUGUAUUACCAAGCACAAAAGAAAAUGCUUCACGAACU